AGGGUGGCCCUCUGCCCACUUGCCUUGGUAGCUGACUGGCCGUCUGCUUCGCCGGUUUGUGUACAUGCAUCCAGUGAUGUGAGAGAGGAAAGGUCAAAUACAACCGUCUGAAGCUACAACAACAGUAACUACAACAACGAAUGACGUGGCUUCACACCAUAUGCCAGAAAAAUUCAGUAGUGGAACGCAUGUUGCUGAUGUGGCAUGAAUGCUGAUGUGGAUAGUUUGCAUGUUAAGAGAAAUAUGUUAGUGGGGAUGAACUAUUUAGGUGUUAAGAGAAAUAGGUCAGUGGGGGUGAACUAUUAGGUAUUAAAGAUAGGUUAGUCCCAAAAAAUAAUAUAAAAUUACAUAUAAAAUAUCCAAGAUUGAUACUAGAAUAGCAUGAAACAAUAAAAAACUAUAUAUACGUUGAAGACGUAUCAUGGAACUAUGUCAUAAUUGAUGAGCCGCCACCUUGUGGUGUGAGUGAAACUACAUUUAAGCCAAUUUGGGGAUAGUAUAUACAUGCGUGAACGUUGGCUGUCGAGACAAGUGUCUACGAGGGAGGUUAUGAAGAAAACCAAAACUUUUGGAUGACAUUGACACAAUGUGUAUUUAUAUUGUCAAACAAAUCCAUAUCUAAAUUUGAGUUAUGUAAUAGAAAAAUACAAAAAUGCUCUAAGAGGGAAAGAGAGAAAAUGUGAAGAUACUAUUUUCCAUUGAAUUUGUGCUUUUGGUUCUCUUAAUAUGUGUCGUGGUUUCAAUGGAUUUUUUGUGGUAUGCAAGAUUGUAUUAUCAUCUACGACAUCUACGACAUCUAUUCUGAAUUAUAAGAUGUUUUGAAUAUUUCAAUAUGAACUUCAUACAAACUAAAAUGGGUGAACAAAUACACUAAAACGCUCUAUAUACAUCCAAUUCGGAAAAAAAGUUAGAACAUCUUAUAGUUUGGAACGAAGGGAGUAGUAUCUUGUAUAUGGACUUUUUGAACCUGAGCUCACGUCCUUUCUGAUGAACACUAAAUCCAGAAUAGUAAAAACACAAAAUAUUCUUUUUUUUAUAACAUUGAUGAAUGUUUUAACUGCCUGUAAACUUUUGUGGCAAAAUAACAUUCGUGGAUGUCUGGGCAAAAGAAAAAUGAUGCUUUGACAAGAGUAUUGUUGGAAGCAUCGAUUUUUUUCACUAGACCUCCACGAAUGUCAUUUCGUCACAAAAAAAUAUAGGAAGUUAAACCAUUCAUCUUUUUACUAUUUUUUGAAUUUCACUGUUCAUCAGAGAGCAUGUGAUCUCAGGAUCAAAAGAGCACUUUCACGGUAUCUUAAUCUUCACAAAUAUUCAUAUUUUCUUUUUCAACUUUCUGAUAGUGCUACCAUAGCACCAUAACAUCACAAAGACUUGUAGCACUGUAACUUCUCUAGGUGUCCACAUCAAAUAGGAUAUAGUGCAUCCAAGUUAAGUAGCAAGUGUAUUUGCAAAAAAAAAGUUAAGUAGCAAGUUUAAUUAGUACACAUCUUUUACAUGGAAAGCUCAUAUACGAUUACAGUUGUAGCAUGCGAGUAUUCAUUUUGGGAACAUGAAAUUAUGCUUUUCCUUUUAGUAAACAAAUUGACUUCAUUGACUAACAUAGUAACAAUUGACUGAAACUAAGAACGAAGUAUAUAUUGUCAGCAUAUGCUUUUUACUCACUCUGUAAACUAGUAGUAUAAUGUAGAACUGCAAAACGCCUUAUAUAAGUUUACAGAAGAGGUAGUGCCAUUUUAUAUAAUUUUUUUAGUUUCUUAUAUAUAUAAUAUUAUUUUUAUUGUCUCCGGCCCUUUAACAUUUUUUAGGGUAUAUCCGGCCCUUUUACAUUUUUUUUGAGACAAUCCGGCCCUUUUACAUGGUACCGGUCUGUUACUAAUACGCAUCAGGCCCACUUUCCAUCGUCACCAAACGAGGCCUAAAAACAGGCCCAGCGCAACAAACACCCCGCACUGGAAAGUGGAAACCGACCUCCCCUGCGCCCACAAUAUAGACUGAACCAGAUCGGCGGAGCGCCCCCAAUUCCUCACUUCCUGCUUCCGCCCCUCCCCCCCCAUCUCCCCUCUCCCCCUCGCGAGGCCGAGAGCCGACACACCCACCCCAUCCCCGAGCGCCGCUAGGGUUGCGGCUCGCUCCGGCGAUGGAGGACGACGAGUAUGAGGAGGGGAUGGAGAUGGAUAUGGGAGGGCACCAGCACCUCCAGCACCGGGGGUACGGAGCUGAGGAGGAGGUCGAGGGGGGAUACGCCGGCGGCGGGGACGGGGAGGACGAGGAGGAGGAGGCGCGGGACGAGGAGGAGAUUACCCAGGAGGACGCCUGGGCCGUCAUCUCCGCCUACUUCGAGGAGAAGGGCCUCGUGCGCCAGCAGCUCGACUCCUUCGACGAGUUCAUCCAGAACACCAUGCAGGAGAUCGUCGAUGAGUCGGCCGACAUCGAGAUCCGCCCCGAGUCGCAGCACAACCCCGGCCGCCAGGCCGAGUUCGCCGAGGUUGCCCUCCCGACCAUACCAAAUAUGGCUUAAUUUUUGCUCUUAGCUUGGUCGGUUAGGGUUUGGCGACCUUGGUACGACUAGCUGGUGACGGGCCGGUCUCAGAUUAGAUGGGGCGCUGCUCAAAUAGAUGACCAGUUAGGGUUUUGCGGGAGUAUUCAGCUGCUUGCUGGUGUUUAUGGUGGGGGUCUGAGAAUUUUGUCAAUGAUUAAGCAACAACAAAAAAAACCGUGAUGGUGGUGGUUGGAUUGAAUUUUGAUUCUGAAGAGUGGAAUUGCUUGGCUGUGUUCAGAUGAGAGCUCCCUUGCAAGCUCCCUUUCGGAUAGCCGCUAAAGCUUGGAUUUCAGAGGUGGCACUAGGAAUGAUUAGAAUGAGUUUUGCAGACAUGCUUGUUGGCUAGUUUCAGUUAUUUCUCAUGGGUAUUUGUCUCAGGGUCUUACUAUCAAGAUGGUUUCUGUUAUUUUGCCUGUUUUCAUCAGUUUAAACUGAUGAAUUGUACUGGGAAAUCCAGAAAUAUGUAACUAUUGUGUUGUUAUAAUAGAGUUGAAAAAUGUGAAGAACUGGCUGGUCAUUGUUGUUCUAGUCAUUGUGUUGCCAGA
This 3084-nucleotide long non-coding RNA is filed under the name Triticum aestivum (bread wheat). RNAcentral describes it as "long non-coding RNA (TAES_LNC006109)". The record is from RNAcentral. Lineage: Eukaryota; Viridiplantae; Streptophyta; Magnoliopsida; Poales; Poaceae.